ACGGGAUAAGUGCUGAAAGCAUCUAAGCAUGAAGCCCCCCUCAAGAUGAGAUUUCCCAACUUCGGUUAUAAGAUCCCUCAAAGAUGAUGAGGUUAAUAGGUUCGAGGUGGAAGCAUGGUGACAUGUGGAGCUGACGAAUACUAAUCGAUCGAAGACUUAAUCAA
RNAcentral lists this ribosomal RNA (164 nucleotides) under Staphylococcus aureus. Its description in RNAcentral is "partial 23S ribosomal RNA". It matches the Rfam family "Bacterial large subunit ribosomal RNA", at positions 2759 to 2925 of the family's 2925-position model. The record is from RNAcentral. Lineage: Bacteria; Bacillati; Bacillota; Bacilli; Caryophanales; Staphylococcaceae.